GACGAACGCUGGCGGCGUGCCUAAUACAUGCAAGUAGAACGCACAGUUUAUACCGUAGCUUGCUACACCAUAGACUGUGAGUUGCGAACGGGUGAGUAACGCGUAGGUAACCUGCCUGGUAGCGGGGGAUAACUAUUGGUAACGAUAGCUAAUACCGCAUAAUAUUUAUUAUUGCAUGAUAAUUAAUUGAAAGGUGCAAUUGCACCACUACCAGAUGGACCUGCGUUGUAUUAGCUAGUAGGUGAGGUAACGGCUCACCUAGGCGACGAUACAUAGCCGACCGGAUAGGGUGGUCGGCCACACUGGGACGGAGACACGGCACAGACUCCUAGGGGAGGGAGCCGGAGGGCAUCUUCGGCAAUGGACGAAAGUCUGACCGAGCAACGCCGCGUGAGUGAAGAAGGUUUUCGGGUCGUAAAGCUCUGUUGUAAGAGAAGAACGGGUGUGAGAGUGGAAAGUUCACACUGUGACGGUAUCUGACCAGAAAGCGACGGCUAACUACGUG
This 505-nucleotide ribosomal RNA is filed under the name uncultured bacterium. RNAcentral's name for it is "partial 16S ribosomal RNA". It matches the Rfam family "Bacterial small subunit ribosomal RNA", at positions 28 to 507 of the family's 1533-position model. The record is from RNAcentral.